GCUACGGGGGCAGCUUGAGGACUGCAGAAAGAAAGGGCGAUGGCAUGAACUUUUUUUCUUGCUAUUCAUUUGCAUGGUGUCACAGAUUGUGUGAAUGUGCUGACUUACUUGUGGGAGGAUACUUUGCCCUCUGCAAAGCCACCUUUAUGGAAGAAUCUAUUACUGAAGAGCUGAACGGGCAGGAAUGGGGGAGUCUGGCAGAGAUGGAGCCUGAGUGGUGUCCACAGAGGUCUUCGGAGAAAGGCCAUAUGCCAUGUGCAGAUCAUCGUCCCUCCCCAGGGGAACUUCCAGCGAGAUGAAUGAGAGGCCAGAUAAAUCAUGAAGAUCUACAGGUACACAUACAGGGAGAAACUUGUGAACACAGUCGGGAGAUCCGUGACGGAGAGGUAACGGCAGCCGAUAAUUAAAUAGCUGCGUUCCUGGAGACCGGGUGGGCUUGACAGAGACAAAGGAGACAGUGGGAAGGGCACGGGCCCCUUCUGACGGGAGAACAGCAAUACCAACACCAGCCCUGCCGAGAGAGGUCCACGGCAGCCACAGCAGCAGCAUCCACGCCCUGCUUUCUCCCCACCUCCACCGGGACCGCCGGCUUGUCUUCUGUUCCCAUGACACGGAGGCCAUGGCCAGCUUUCCAGGACUUAUGGGAGAUGAGCCACUUUACUACGAUCUGAGUCUUGUUGUUGCUUCCGAGGCAAAAACGGAUGGGGGACAUAAACACCAGGGUGGGCACAGAGCCUGCCACAACAGACAAGACACCCUGAUGUCAGGGCAGAGUUGGCCAACCCUGGUCCUGGGAGCACUUUGCUGUGUCCCAGUUCCAGGGUUGGGUCGUCUUGUUUGGUCCGAACAGGUGAGAGCUCAGAGGGCCCCCCUCACCUUAUUAGGCGAGGUGAGGCUCUGGGACGAGUGGCGGAAGCAGCUCAGCUUCCUGGGCACCUGGGAGUGGCAUCAGCAGCCGACAGCACAGCCAGACGGUGUUUCCCCUACAGCAUCAUCAUUCAAACGUGCCCCAAACAGUAGUGCCCAUAGAUCACGAAGGGCAAUGCUGAUUUGGCUACAAGCGGCACCAGGACGUUUCUCCAAGGGCUCCAGGGGGGUGAGGGUGGCGGACGUGGGGGACAUUGAUGUCCUGUGCUUCUUCCUCAAGGCAAAGAUCCCUAAUACGACAUGCUCGGGGCUGGUCCGCAUGUAUUUUCAAAACAUAAGAACAAAGAUGGCUUUUUAUGGACAAACCAGACCAGAAGUAUUCCAAAGCGUUCCCUAGAAAUGUUGGGGCUGUAAAAUAUCUGCGAGAUAUAAAAUAGAAUAUCCUAUCACUUGUCAGUAACACGGUUUGUUUGUUUC
This is a long non-coding RNA of Neofelis nebulosa (Clouded leopard), 1344 nucleotides long. RefSeq lists it as uncharacterized. The record is from RefSeq and is a predicted model, not a curated record. Lineage: Eukaryota; Metazoa; Chordata; Mammalia; Carnivora; Felidae. The transcript is spliced from 4 exons.